GUCAGUCCCAGAAAUUGAAUGCACACCUGCAAAUUUCAUAAUUCAUAAAAAUAUUAUGAAUCCAUUAGCAAGUAUAUAUUUUAAUCAUUAAAAGUUUGGCCCUCUGUCUUUAAUUUUAUCUGUUUUAUAAGUGAUUAUUGUAUUUACUUUCAUAAAUUCUAAAUAUAAUAUAUAAUUAGUUGUAUAGUUUCUUAAUAAUAUAAUUAACUUUAUUGUUUCAAGAUAAAGUUGUAUCCUUGCAAGAUAUACUGGUAUUAUUGGCACAAUGGGCAAGCAUUGAAGUGCAACUUGGUGAACAACAAAAUACAUCAAAUUCAGUUAUAAAAAUUUGAGUAUCAAAGGUAUGCUAAUUAUUGUAUUGCCUGAAGGAGUGUCAUUGCCAUUAAAAGCAGUGAAGAAUUCAAGUACUCAGGAAGAAAAAAGACAAGAAAAUACUUCAGUAAAUGGUAAAUAUUUUUUUAUGAUCUGUUUAUGCAUUUAGUAUGAUAUGUAGUACAAUUUAUAUACUUUAAAUAAAAUACUCUUUGAAGAUUUUUUGUAAAUGACAUUUUAUAUUAAUUUAAGUCUAAACUAAAGUUACUUUAAUUACUGCCAGGCUGUGUAUUUUUGCAAGUUAAUUAUUUGGCACAAAUUGGAGUUAAAGACGAAGGAGAUUGUAUUUGUUAUUUACUAAGAAUAGUUUAUUAAAAUGGUCUAGCUGUAAAAUUAAAUUAUGCAGGGAAAGGAUAAAAAAUUGGAAUAGGAAAAAUGUUGAUUGCAUAUGCUGCUAUUGAAACUGUGAAGUCAAUUAAGCAUGGCUUAUGCAGACAUGUUAUAGAGAUAGCGGAAGAAAAAAUAAUAAUCGUGGGCACCAAAUAUCAUAAGCUAAACACGAUUCAAUAACAAGUA
Molecule: non-coding RNA, 888 nt
Organism: Hydra vulgaris (swiftwater hydra)
Lineage: Eukaryota; Metazoa; Cnidaria; Hydrozoa; Anthoathecata; Hydridae
Source: RefSeq, a predicted model, not a curated record